Molecule: ribosomal RNA, 265 nt
Filed under: uncultured bacterium
Lineage: Bacteria
Description: partial 16S ribosomal RNA
Rfam family: Bacterial small subunit ribosomal RNA
Source: RNAcentral
UACAGAGACCACAAACGUUAUCCGGAAUCAUUGGGCGUAAAGCGUACCGAUAGGUGGUUUACUAAGCCAGAGGUGAAAUCUCCGAGCCCAACUCGGAAUCUGUCCUUUGGAACUGGUAAACUAGAGGGACAAAGAGGAAGCUGGAACAAACGGUGUAGUAGUGAAAUGCGUUGAUAUCGUUUGGAACACCAAUAGCGAAGGCUGGCUUCUGGGUGUCACCUGACACUGCUAGGACGAAAGCGUGGGGAGCGAAUGGGAUUAGAAA